RNAcentral lists this ribosomal RNA (422 nucleotides) under uncultured bacterium. RNAcentral's name for it is "partial 16S ribosomal RNA". It matches the Rfam family "Bacterial small subunit ribosomal RNA", at positions 360 to 774 of the family's 1533-position model. The record is from RNAcentral.
AAUUUUGGACAAUGGGGGAAACCCUGAUCCAGCCAUCCCGUGCGUAUGAUGAAGGCCUUCGGGCUGUAAAGUACUUUUGGCAGAGAAGAAAAGGUACCUCCUAAUACGAGGUACUGUUGUCUGAACCUCCAGAAUAGGCACCGCCUAACUACCUGCCAGCAGCCACGGUAAUACGUAGGGUGCAAGCGUUAAUCGGAAUUACUGGGCGUAAAGCGUGUGUAGGCGGUUCGGAAAGAAAGAUGUGAAAGCCCAGGGCUCAACCUUGGAACUGCAUUUUUAACUGCCGAGCUAGAGUAUGUAAGAGGGGGGUAGAAUUCCACGUGUAGCAGUGAAAUGCGUAGAUAUGUGGAGGAAUACCGAUGGCGAAGGCAGCCCCCUGGGAUAAUACUGACGCUCAGACACGAAAGCGUGGGGAGCAAACA